UUGGCCUCAGUCCAUUCUGCAUACAGGCAUCUUCCUUGCGAGGUCUGAAUCCACAGCAAUUUGUAUCUAAGCGAUUAUAAAUCUGAAAAUGGAAAUGAAAACAAAAUCCAAGAUGCUGAGUAAAAGCUUGGGAAAGUCAGAACAUUUCCAAAGAAUGGGAGUUUUCUGAACAGCUGACUUGCCAGAAUCCCAGCAGGCCAGGCUGACUUAAUUGAAAGCAACUGUUAGAAAAGUCCACAGUUCAAAGUCCUCUGACUCAGACAGAGUCCUAAGCAUUUCCAGCUUCUGCUAACAGCUCCAACAUCAGGUUGUCCAACUCAAGCGUCUCCACCCUUGGUAUCCGCAGUUCCCACGGAAUCACAUUCAAGCAUGUGGCCAGCACAAUCUCUGACUCUUCAGCAGAGCCUACUGUGCCAGACAAUUCUGACCAACAUCACAGAUGGUGACCAGCAUCUUCUAGAAAUGUUGACACAGAUGCUUUCAGAUUCAAUCUUCAAAUUCACUUGCCGUACAACAGCGGUCAUCCCGAGAGCUUCCUGUGUUGUUAAAGGAGACGGAGUGAUGGAAGGGACCACACGGAAGAGCUGAGACAGCAUGUCACACGACCAACAAGCUGGCAUCCUUACCCACGCCUCAUAAAGAACACAACUGAAUAGUGACCAGCUGCACACACCCUUCGUUUACCCAACUGCCCCCAUGUGGGGAUCCAUAUCUCAUCUCAGAAUAUGGAAGCCCCUGCCACCUAUGACUCAAGAUCUCUGCUGAAACCAAGAAGAAUGAUGUUGUCAGGUCAUAUGGGACUUGCGGCAAGCUGAAAUCAGAGCAAGUGAAAAACCUGUUGCAAUGUAACUAAGGCAUGUGUGAUGCUCAAAGUUAUGAUUAUUAUCAGAGGUACUAACAAACUCUGUGCCUGAAAUAUUUUCUCCCCGUAAAAGUAAUAUAUAAGAAAGCCAAGCUUAAAAAAGAAGUAAAUAUGGUGCUAGAGAGAUUGCUUAGAAGUCAAUCGCAAGAGGUGUUCUUCUAGAGGUCCUGAGUUUAAGUCUCAGCAGCCACAUGGUGGCUCACAGCCAUCUAGAGUGGGAUCUGAUGCCCUCUUUUGGUGUACAGGUGUACAUGCAGAUAGAGCACUAGUAGACAUAAAAUAAAUAAAUCUUUUUUUAAAAAAACAGUAGAUUUUAAGAAUUCCAACUAUAAGACCCAAAUACGGUGAAGGUUGCUUGGCCUUCACCUUGGAACAACUCUAGACCCAAAUUAGAUCCUGCAUAGGCUUCAAUCUCCCACCAACACAUUCUCCUUCCCUCUUCUGUCAGGUGUGUAUCACUGAGUGCCCCUGGGAGUUCAAACUCACCCCCCACCCCACCUUCUGAAAGGUAUCUACAAAGUGGGGGAGAAGACAGAGGGGCACUCACUGGAAGUGCCCCCACUAAGCCUUCCCUUUCCUUCACUGACCCUUGCUGGUUCCAUGUGAAGACCCUAAGAAUGGAUGUUCACGGUUCCUCCUGCUGGGUCCCUAACCCUGGCUCACCAUCCUCUUAGCAUCUAGGAUGCUCCACAGUUCUGCAACCGUAGUUCUGCUGCUUCACGCCUGCUUCCCACAUGGAGAUGUUUGCUGGCUGUUCUCACAACAGGCCUGGAGAGUGCCUGGAUAGUGCCUGGAUAGUGCCAGGCCGCAAAGUCAGGGAACUGAAGUUCUCUCUUCUUCAUUGUUCCUCAAAGGCUGUAAUGCAGAUGUUUAGCUGGCACUAAGGAGUGUGGCUUUAGUGGGUUUUUUUUUCUAGUUUUGUUAUUGUUAUUUGGAUGGUGAUGGUCUUUUUAUUGUUUUUAUUGAGCCUUGUUAUUAUUUUGAGACAGGAUCUCACUAUGUGGGGGUUUUUAUGCUUUUGUUAGUGUCCUUAUUUGGUUGGUGGUGGUCUCAUUACUAUUUUGAGACAGGGUCUCACUAUCACCCAGCAUAGCCUGGAAUGCACAGUAAUCCUCCUACUACAAGUGUGAGCCACCAGACCAGCUUGUAAUGGGUAAAUAGCACUCUGCUCUCUGUGUUUUGUCUUUCUCUUAAACUGUGUGUGAAAUGAAUUCCAUCUUUUACAUUGUUUUGUGGACAUCUGUGCCUCUCUGGACAGCACAGGAAGGCACUCUUAGAUGCCAUUCCUACUGGGCUACCUGUCUAGGUUGACUUGCAGCGGAAUAAACGCUUGAGCAGAA
Myodes glareolus (Bank vole) is the source of this 2202-nucleotide non-coding RNA. The record is from RefSeq and is a predicted model, not a curated record. NCBI's taxonomy places the organism in Eukaryota, Metazoa, Chordata, Mammalia, Rodentia, Cricetidae.